This is a long non-coding RNA of Acipenser ruthenus (sterlet), 1849 nucleotides long. RefSeq lists it as uncharacterized. Lineage: Eukaryota; Metazoa; Chordata; Actinopteri; Acipenseriformes; Acipenseridae. The transcript is spliced from 2 exons. The record is from RefSeq and is a predicted model, not a curated record.
UCAUACAGUAUUUUGGAGAAGCUAAAGAAAAACACAAACUGGAUGUUCUUUAUUUGAAAAAGAGGGGGGGGGGGAAUGCAGCGUAAAUUAAACUAAAGGUGUACCUGAAAACAAGUGGAACUGAAGGAGAAAUAUUGAAUCCUGAAAGACAACUUGACAAAGAGAAGGUGCUGUCUGCUGUACAUAUUGCAUUUUGUGGCAGUUUCUCUAGAACUGUCAUAUAAAUACUGCUAUUGCUAGAUAGAUAUAUGUAUGUCAUGUCAUUCAAAUAGAUAUAGUUAUAUUAUAUGGUAUAUAAUUUUCUGUGUGUGUGUGGGUGUUUGUAUUGUUUUAAAUCAAUGUUGUGAGAUUUAUUUUGCAUUGUGUGCAGGGGAGACCCGUUUUAAACUGCAUCAGAUGGAUUUCAAAACCGAGACACAGAAAAAAAAAGUUUCAUGAAUAUAUAAUCUGGAAAAGCAAUUGAGCAGGGGGUGUUCGAAGCGCUGUAUACUGAGAACAUGCUUAAUAUAAGAAGAAAAAACAAGAUGACAUCAUAAGCAAAACAUUAUUGAAAUCUCAUAUUUUAAAACAGCAACGCUGCUAUGCCAUUAAGGUACCGGCGUACAUCUGGAAUGUAAAUGAUGCCACAUUAAAAUCGAAGGUAUGAGGAUGAAAAGGAGAGAGAGGAGUGGGGAACAACAAUUGAUGCCCUGAGUACGUAACUAAACCAGGAGACUCCAGCAGACUGAAGAGCAUAGAACAAACCAGAAUCUCACCCCCAGAUCAAACUGCUAAGGCCAAAGAAUGGCUGUGGAGCUGUAAUCGAAUCUGAUGGGAGUCACAGCCUGAUGCAUUGCCAGCAUAUGCAGGAUGAGCCCAGUCUAAGGUUCCAGAACGUCAAUCUCAAGAUGGUACCCCUCAGACGCCAUGAGGGCAGGUGUGCGAUCGACGGGGAAGAGUCGAGCGAGGACCGCGAAGAGAGGAUCUUAGCCAUGCUGGGGAUCAUAGGGACAGUCCUCAACCUGCUGGUGGUUAUAUUCGUUUAUAUCUACACCACCAUCUGACCAGGAAGAAGCAACGAGGAGACAACAAGCAAAGAUGCAAUGAAGAAGACAGUUUGCACAAUGGAAAAUUCAUAAUUGCUCAAGACGUAAGCUGAUACUGUAAAUAUAGCAAGGACUAGUACUAAGGACAGGAAUUUUCAAGUGACCUUUGUGUAUAUAGCAGAGCAUUUGGAAGACUUGGAGGUAUUUCAUUAAUAAAGAGAAGCACAAUUGACAAUGUGUUAAGAGACAAGAGAAGUCAGUCGAAUUGUAAGUGGCAGGUAUUAUGGCUUUGUGGGUGGUAGAAGUUCGGUUGACCUCUGAAGUUGACAAACCCCCAAACUGUGUAGCGAAACUUCAAGAGGGUUUAUCAGCGCCUGUCUCAGAUAGAGUACAGGGGUCCCAGGACUCAGUGGGGUUGAAUCUACACUCUCUUACAAAUAUCUUGUUUUCUACAAAUAAGCUUAAACCGGAGAAGACAUAAGAAAGACAAAACUGCCUGGAAUUGAAUUUAUACUGUACUUCCAACAAAUGGAAUAUGCAUUUGUACUGUUUCUACGCAAAUGUUGAUCCUGAAACUGCCAAAGCUUUAUUAUUAUUAUUAUUAUUAUUAUUAUUAUUAUUAUUAUUAUUAUUAUUAUUAUUAUUAUUAUUUGCCAUAUAUGUGGUAAUAUUAAGAUAAAAUCAUAUUGAAAAUGAUUUUAAAAAUAUCUAAAAAAGACUCCAAUAUCGGUGUCCUACUUUCACAUUUUGAAAUGAUAUGUAGCAAAAGGGUUUCCUUAAAAAAAAAACCCAAUAAUAAUAAUUACUGCCUUGUGGAACUUUUA